This 520-nucleotide ribosomal RNA is filed under the name uncultured Glomus. RNAcentral describes it as "SSU rRNA". It matches the Rfam family "Eukaryotic small subunit ribosomal RNA", at positions 569 to 1087 of the family's 1831-position model. Lineage: Eukaryota; Fungi; Glomeromycota; Glomeromycetes; Glomerales; Glomeraceae. The record is from RNAcentral.
AGCAGCCGCGGUAAUUCCAGCUCCAAUAGCGUAUAUUAAAGUUGUUGCAGUUAAAAAGCUCGUAGUUGAAUUUCGGGGUCAGUAAGUUGGUCGUGCCACUGGUAUGCACUGGCUUUACUGACUCCUCCUUCUUGAAGAACUGUGAUGCCAUUAAUUUGGUGUUGCAGGGAAACAGGACUGUUACUUUGAAAAAAUUAGAGUGUUUAAAGCAGGCUAACGCUUGAAUACAUUAGCAUGGAAUAAUGAAAUAGGACGUUUGACCCUAUUUUGUUGGUUUCUAGGAUCGACGUAAUGAUUAAUAGGGAUAGUUGGGGGCAUUAGUAUUCAAUUGUCAGAGGUGAAAUUCUUGGAUUUAUUGAAGACUAACUACUGCGAAAGCAUUUGUCCAAGGAUGUUUUCUAUUAAUCAAGAACGAAAGUUAAGGGGAGUCGAAGACGAUCAGAUACCGUCGUAGUCUUAACCAUAAACUAUGCCGACUAGGGAUCGGAUGAUGUUAAUUUUUAACGACUCAUUCGGCGCC